GAGUAGUAAAGGUUAUGAUCCUAAAACUUAAAAGAUUUGGCGGUAUUUUAUCUUAUUAGAGGAACCUGUUUUUUUAUUGAUACUCCACAAUUUUAUUUACUUUUUUUAUUAAACUUGUAUACCGCCGUCAUGAAUAUAUUUAAAAAUUUAUUUUUUUGGUUUUAUAAAAUUUAUGUUAGGUCAAGGUGCAGUAUAGAAAGAUAAAAAUGGGUUACAUUAAAUAUUAUGAAUGUAAAAUUUGAAAAAGGAUUUAAAAGUAAAUUUAUAUUAAAAUAGAAUGAAUAAAGAUUCUAAAAUAUG
RNAcentral lists this ribosomal RNA (300 nucleotides) under Stenopsylla nigricornis. RNAcentral describes it as "partial 12S ribosomal RNA". The record is from RNAcentral. Lineage: Eukaryota; Metazoa; Arthropoda; Insecta; Hemiptera; Triozidae.